Molecule: ribosomal RNA, 234 nt
Filed under: uncultured bacterium
Lineage: Bacteria
Description: partial 16S ribosomal RNA
Rfam family: Bacterial small subunit ribosomal RNA
Source: RNAcentral
GGCGGACGGGAGAGUAAUACAUAGGAAUCUGCCCAGUAGCGGGGGACAACUUGGGGUAACUCAAGCUAAUACCGCAUACGCCCUACGGGGGAAAGCAGGGGAUCUUCGGACCUUGCACUAUUGGAUGAGCCUAUGUCAGAUUAGCUUGUUGGUGGGGUAACGGCCUACCAAGGCGACGAUCUGUAGCUGGUCUGAGAGGACGAUCAGCCACACUGGGACUGAGACACGGCCCAG